This 465-nucleotide ribosomal RNA is filed under the name uncultured Klebsiella sp. RNAcentral describes it as "bacterial SSU rRNA". It matches the Rfam family "Bacterial small subunit ribosomal RNA", at positions 338 to 795 of the family's 1533-position model. The record is from RNAcentral. Lineage: Bacteria; Pseudomonadati; Pseudomonadota; Gammaproteobacteria; Enterobacterales; Enterobacteriaceae.
CCUACGGGUGGCUGCAGUGGGGAAUAUUGCACAAUGGGCGCAAGCCUGAUGCAGCCAUGCCGCGUGUGUGAAGAAGGCCUUCGGGUUGUAAAGCACUUUCAGCGGGGAGGAAGGCGUUAAGGUUAAUAACCUUGUCGAUUGACGUUACCCGCAGAAGAAGCACCGGCUAACUCCGUGCCAGCAGCCGCGGUAAUACGGAGGGUGCAAGCGUUAAUCGGAAUUACUGGGCGUAAAGCGCACGCAGGCGGUCUGUCAAGUCGGAUGUGAAAUCCCCGGGCUCAACCUGGGAACUGCAUUCGAAACUGGGAGGCUAGAGUCUUGUAGAGGGGGGUAGAAUUCCAGGUGUAGCGGUGAAAUGCGUAGAGAUCUGGAGGAAUACCGGUGGCGAAGGCGGCCCCCUGGACAAAGACUGACGCUCAGGUGCGAAAGCGUGGGGAGCAAACAGGAUUAGAUACCCGUGUAGUC